Molecule: ribosomal RNA, 263 nt
Filed under: uncultured bacterium
Lineage: Bacteria
Description: partial 16S ribosomal RNA
Rfam family: Bacterial small subunit ribosomal RNA
Source: RNAcentral
GUCCACGCCCUAAACGAUGUCUACUAGUUGUCGGGUCUUAAUUGACUUGGUAACGCAGCUAACGCGUGAAGUAGACCGCCUGGGGAGUACGGUCGCAAGAUUAAAACUCAAAGGAAUUGACGGGGACCCGCACAAGCGGUGGAUGAUGUGGAUUAAUUCGAUGCAACGCGAAAACCUUACCUACCCUUGACAUGGCAGGAAUCCUGGAGAGAUCUGGGAGUGCUCGAAAGAGAACCUGCACACAGGUGCUGCAUGGCUGUCGU